CGCUGGCGGCGUGCCUAACACAUGCAAGUCGAACGGAGAUAAGCGCUGAAUUGAAGGAAGCUUGCUUUUGGAUUUUCUUGCUUAUCUUAGUGGCGGACGGGCGAGUAACGCGUGAGCAACCUGCCCCUCAGUGGGGAACAACAGUUGGAAACGACUGCUAAUACCGCAUAAUGUGCCGUCGGGGCAUCCCGGUGGCACCAAAGGAGCAAUUCGCUGAGGGAUGGGCUCGCGUCCGAUUAGAUAGUUGGUGGGGUAACGGCCUACCAAGUCGACGAUCGGUAGCCGAACUGAGAGGUUGAUCGGCCGCAUUGGGACUGAGACACGGCCCAGACUCCUACGGGAGGCAGCAGUGGGGGAUAUUGCACAAUGGAGGAAACUCUGAUGCAGCAACGCCGCGUGAGGGAAGACGGUCUUCGGAUUGUAAACCUAAGUUAUCAGGGACGAAGAAAGUGACGGUACCUGAAGAGAAAGCUCCGGCUAACUACGUGCCAGCAGCCGCGGUAAUACGUAGGGAGCGAGCGUUGUCCGGAUUUACUGGGUGUAAAGGGUGCGUAGGCGGGUCAGCAAGUCAGGCGUGAAAUCCCACGGCUCAACUGUGGGGCUGCGCUUGAAACUGUGGAUCUUGAGUGAAGUAGAGGCAAGCGGAAUUCCUAGUGUAGCGGUGAAAUGCGUAGAUAUUAGGAGGAACACCAGUGGCGAAGGCGGCUUGCUGGGCUUUAACUGACGCUGAGGCACGAAAGCAUGGGGAGCAAACAGGAUUAGAUACCCUGGUAGUCCAUGCCGUAAACGAUGAUUGCUAGGUGUGGGGGGUCGACUCCCUCCGUGCCGGAGUAAACGCAAUAAGCAAUCCACCUGGGGAGUACGACCGCAAGGUUGAAACUCAAAG
Molecule: ribosomal RNA, 886 nt
Filed under: human gut metagenome
Description: bacterial SSU rRNA
Rfam family: Bacterial small subunit ribosomal RNA
Source: RNAcentral